UACGAAGGGGGCUAGCGUUGUUCGGAUUUAUUGGGUGUAAAGGGCAUGUAGGUGGUUUUGUAAGUCAAAGGUGAAAUGGCCCGGCUCAACCAGGUCAUUGCCUUUGAAACUGCAGGACUUGAGUACGGAAGAGGAAAGCGGAAUUCCCAGUGUAGCGGUGAAAUGCGUAGAUAUUGGGAGGAACACCGGUGGCGAAGGCGGCUUUCUGGUCCGAAACUGACACUGAGAUGCGAAAGCCAGGGGAGCAAACGGG
RNAcentral lists this ribosomal RNA (253 nucleotides) under uncultured bacterium. RNAcentral's name for it is "partial 16S ribosomal RNA". It matches the Rfam family "Bacterial small subunit ribosomal RNA", at positions 524 to 776 of the family's 1533-position model. The record is from RNAcentral.